UCUUUAAUCACCAUAAAGAAUCUAGCACUUAGUAUUCUAAUGAAAGAAAUGAAUGUUAGUUGUACUCAGAAAAUUAGGAUCUUAGAAAUUAAGACUCUAAAGAAUAUGAAGAUGGUAAAGCAAGUGGGUCCGAUUGGAUCCUUAUUGAAGUUUGGAAAUGUCUUCAAGUGAUAGGACUUGGGAGUAGUGUGGUUGGCUAAAUUGUCUAAUAGAUUUUGAUAUCAAAGAAUAUGCCAAAGGUGUAGAGGAGUGCCUAAGUCCUUAUAUAAGGGAGAUUUCCAAGGUUGCUCAAGCUAUAGAAG
This 302-nucleotide unclassified non-coding RNA is filed under the name Hevea brasiliensis (rubber tree). The record is from RNAcentral. Lineage: Eukaryota; Viridiplantae; Streptophyta; Magnoliopsida; Malpighiales; Euphorbiaceae.